This 972-nucleotide long non-coding RNA is filed under the name Pan troglodytes (chimpanzee). RNAcentral's name for it is "long non-coding RNA NONPTRT008995". The record is from RNAcentral. Lineage: Eukaryota; Metazoa; Chordata; Mammalia; Primates; Hominidae.
UACCAGUGAAUACCCUAGUAAGAUAGUAUGGGCUCCUUGGUGUAUAUGUGCCACAUUUUCUUAAUCCAGUCCAAGCUCAAGCUCAGGUGAUCCUCUCACCUCAGCCUCCUGAGUAGCUGGGACCACAGGCACCUGCCAACACACCUGGCUAUUUUUUUCCUUUUUGAGCCACAGUCUCACUUUCGCCCAGGCUGGAGUGCAGUGACACAAUCUCGGCUCACUGCAACCUCCGCCUCCCAGGUUCAAGUGAUUCUCUUGCCUCAGCCUCCUGAGUAGCUGGGAUUACAGGCGCCUGCCACCAUGCUCAGCAAUUUUUUUUUUUUUUUGUACUUUCAGUAAAGACGGGGUUUCGCCAUGUUGGCCAAGCUGCUCUCAAACUCCUGACCUCAGGUGAUUUGCCUGCCUCGGCCUCCCAUUAUCUUUUGUAGAGACAGAGUUUCACCUUGCUGGCCAAGCUGGUCUCAAACCUGAUCUCAAGCAACUGGCCCGCCUAGGCCUCAGAAGUGUUGGAAUUACAGGCGUGAGCCAUCACACGCAGCCCGUCUCUUCUUGUAAAGACACUGGUCAUGUUUGAUUAGGAUCUAUCCUAAUAACAUCAUUUUAUCUUCAUUACAUCUACAAAGUCCUUAUAUACAAAUAAGGCCACAUUCACAGGUACUGGGGCUUAGACUUCAACAUAUAUUUUUGUUGGGGUGGGGCACAAUUUAACCCAUAACACCCUAUGUCUAAAGUAGCCCCACCCCACUCUCUCUGGUCAUGAUCAUUUCACCUUAUCCGAAGCAAUCUUGCUUAUUUAUGAGUUUAGUUGUGUGUUGGCUGUCUUCCUCACUGAACGUAAACUCCAUGAGAGCAAGAACUUUGCUUACCUGGAAUGUCACUAUGUCCAUAAUGCCCAAAAUGAUGCAUAAUAAACACUUGUUUGAAUGAAUGAAAUAAACUACAAUCAAACAGUGAAAACUAUAGGGCAACAGA